RNAcentral lists this ribosomal RNA (450 nucleotides) under uncultured bacterium. RNAcentral describes it as "SSU rRNA". It matches the Rfam family "Bacterial small subunit ribosomal RNA", at positions 26 to 518 of the family's 1533-position model. The record is from RNAcentral.
AGAACGAACGCUGGCGGCAGGCUUAACACAUGCAAGUCGCACGGUCGGGGCAACCCGGCAGUGGCGGACGGGUGAGUAACGCGUAGGUAUCUAUCCUUGGGUGGGGGACAACUGUGGGAAACUACAGCUAAUACCGCAUGAUGACUGAGGUCCAAAGGCGCAAGUCGCCUGGGGAGGAGCCUGCGUACGAUUAGCUAGUUGGUGGGGUAAAGGCCUACCAAGGCGACGAUCGUUAGCUGGUCUGAGAGGAUGAUCAGCCACAUUGGGACUGAGACACGGCCCAAACUCCUACGGGAGGCAGCAGUGGGGAAUAUUGGACAAUGGGCGCAAGCCUGAUCCAGCAAUGCCGCGUGUGUGAAGAAGGUCUUCGGAUUGUAAAGCACUUUCGACGGGGACGAUGAUGACGGUACCCGUAGAAGAAGCCCCGGCUAACUUCGCGCCAGCAGCCGC